GAUGAACGCUGGCGGCGUGCCUAAUACAUGCAAGUCGAGCGAACAGACGAGGAGCUUGCUCCUCUGAUGUUAGCGGCGGACGGGUGAGUAACACGUGGAUAACCUACCUAUAAGACUGGGAUAACUUAGGGAAACCGGAGCUAAUACCGGAUAACAUGUUGAACCGCAUGGUUCAACAGUGAAAGACGGUUUUGCUGUCACUUAUAGAUGGAUCCGCGCCGCAUUAGCUAGUUGGUAAGGUAACGGCUUACCAAGGCAACGAUGCGUAGCCGACCUGAGAGGGUGAUCGGCCACACUGGAACUGAGACACGGUCCAGACUCCUACGGGAGGCAGCAGUAGGGAAUCUUCCGCAAUGGGCGAAAGCCUGACGGAGCAACGCCGCGUGAGUGAAGAAGGUCUUCGGAUCGUAAAACUCUGUUAUUAGGGAAGAACAAAUGUGUAAGUAACUAUGCACGUCUUGACGGUACCUGAUCAGAAAGCCACGGCUAACUACGUG
RNAcentral lists this ribosomal RNA (497 nucleotides) under uncultured bacterium. RNAcentral describes it as "partial 16S ribosomal RNA". It matches the Rfam family "Bacterial small subunit ribosomal RNA", at positions 28 to 507 of the family's 1533-position model. The record is from RNAcentral.